UCUACUAGUUGUCGGGUCUUAUUGACUUGGUAACGCAGCUAACGCGUGAAGUAGACCGCCUGGGGAGUACGGUCGCAAGAUUAAAACUCAAAGGAAUUGACGGGGACCCGCACAAGCGGUGGAUGAUGUGGAUUAAUUCGAUGCAACGCGAAAAACCUUACCUACCCUUGACAUGUACAGAAUCCCGAAGAGAUUUGGGAGUGUUCGAAAGAAAACUGUAACACAGGUGCUGCAUGGCUGUCGUCAGCUCGUGUCGUGAGAUGUUGGGUUAAGUCCCGCAACGAGCGCAACCCUUGUCAUUAGUUGCUACGAAAGGGCACUCUAAUGAGACUGCCGGUGACAAACCGGAGGAAGGUGGGGAUGACGUCAAGUCCUCAUGGCCCUUAUGGGUAGGGCUUCACACGUCAUACAAUGGUACAUACAGAGGGCCGCCAACCCGCGAGGGGGAGCUAAUCCCAGAAAGUGUAUCGUAGUCCGGAUUGUAGUCUGCAACUCGACUACAUGAAGUUGGAAUCGCUAGUAAUCGCGGAUCAGCAUGUCGCGGUGAAUACGUUCCCGGGUCUUGCACUCACCGCCCGUCAAAA
Molecule: ribosomal RNA, 584 nt
Filed under: Oxalobacteraceae bacterium
Lineage: Bacteria; Pseudomonadati; Pseudomonadota; Betaproteobacteria; Burkholderiales; Oxalobacteraceae
Description: bacterial SSU rRNA
Rfam family: Bacterial small subunit ribosomal RNA
Source: RNAcentral